This is a long non-coding RNA of Quercus lobata, 914 nucleotides long. RefSeq lists it as uncharacterized. The transcript has 2 exons. The record is from RefSeq and is a predicted model, not a curated record. Lineage: Eukaryota; Viridiplantae; Streptophyta; Magnoliopsida; Fagales; Fagaceae.
GCUUCCAUUGAUUUACAUUGCUAAUUUGCCUUUCGCCAAGUAGUCUUUGACUUAAAUAUUCUACUCUUCCCCAACGCGGUGUCCGUGUAGCCGCCCGCGCUUAUUCAUAAACAUUUAUCUUCCUAAGAAACAAUAACUCCACCCAACCCAAACCCCCCUCCUUUUAUAAAUAUAUAUAGAAAGCCCUCCAUCAACCCAUACCUAUAUUCUCUCAUUCUUUUCCUUCUAUCAUUUCUCCUACUUUGUUUUAUCAAUAUCUACACAUACCUUUCUUUUGUUUCUUAAGAGAGCUUUGUUCAAAGAUGAGUUCAAGUGAGCCUGCAGUUGCAUAUCCUCCACCUUCAACCGCGCCAACUUAUUAUGUAGCUGCACCACCGGCUGGUUAUCCUACAAAAGAUGGCUCCGGAUACUCUCAAAAUCCUCCUCCUCCGGUGGAAACCAAGUCUAGGGGUGAUGGGUUUUGGAAGGGAUGGUAAGCCUUCUCUCUCUCACUCUCAUUUAUUUAUCUAUUCAUUACCUUUUGAUUUACAUAUUAUGUACAUGUUUAUUUUAUGCAUAGAUGACAUGCAUAAUAAUGAUCUGUCUAUUUGUUUGCUAUAUGCAGUUGUGCUGCCUUGUGUUGCUGCUGUGCGCUGGAUGUAUGCUUCUGAGGGUUAAGAGCGUUUUAGAGGCCUGAGGCCAUUGUUCUUUUAUUUGAUCUCACCCCUUUUUUGUUGUCAAUAAAAUAUUUAUACAGAGUUUGUAUUCUUAUGAAGGGAGGAAUGGACCAUUGGAUAUUUGUCCGGUUCUUUAUCUUGACAUAGUUAUCAUUACUUUGUUAUUAUCGCAUUGUUUUCGUUUUAAUUAGUGCCUUAGUGGUUGAUUUGCUGUCCUUGUAUUGUUGUUGUAAUUAAUAUUAUAAUACAAUUGUUUUU